This 433-nucleotide ribosomal RNA is filed under the name uncultured bacterium. RNAcentral describes it as "partial 16S ribosomal RNA". It matches the Rfam family "Bacterial small subunit ribosomal RNA", at positions 29 to 507 of the family's 1533-position model. The record is from RNAcentral.
AACGAACGCUGGCGGCAUGCCUAACACAUGCAAGUCGAACGAGACCUUCGGGUCUAGUGGCGCACGGGUGCGUAACGCGUGGGAGCCUGCCCUUAGGUUCGGAAUAACUCCCCGAAAGGGGUGCUAAUACCGGAUAAUGUCUUCGGACCAAAGAUUUAUCGCCUUUGGAUGGGCCCGCGUUGGAUUAGCUAGUUGGUAGGGUAAAAGCCUACCAAGGCGACGAUCCAUAGCUGGUCUGAGAGGAUGAUCAGCCACACUGGGACUGAGACACGGCCCAGACCCCUGCGGGAGGAAGAGGGGGGGAAUUGGGGAAAGGGGGGAAAGGCGUGAACCCGCAAUGCCGGGGGAGGGUAAAAGCCCUUGGGGUUGAAAAGCUUUUUUACCGGGGAAGAAAAGGACAGUCCGGGAAAAAAAAGCCCCGGCAAACCCCGUC